Molecule: transfer RNA, 49 nt
Filed under: Aralia cordata
Lineage: Eukaryota; Viridiplantae; Streptophyta; Magnoliopsida; Apiales; Araliaceae
Also listed under: 147 other names
Description: partial tRNA-Leu
Source: RNAcentral
GGAAAAUCCGUCGACUUUAAAAUCGUGAGGGUUCAAGUCCCUCUAUCCC